Molecule: ribosomal RNA, 3738 nt
Rfam family: Bacterial large subunit ribosomal RNA
AAAUGAACUUAGGGCAUACAGGUGGAUACCUUGGCUCAACAGGCGAUGAAGGACGUGCAAAGCUGCGAAAAGCGUCGGGGAGCUGCUUAGAAGCUACGAUCCGGCGAUAUCCGAAUGGGGCAACCCCCAUGCCGUCAUGGGCAUGGACACCGCGAUGAAUUCAAUAGUCGCGAGUGAGCGUACCCGGUGAACUGAAACAUCUAAGUAGCCGGAGGAAUAGACAUCAAACGAGAUUCCCGUAGUAGUGGCGAGCGAACUGGGAACAGCCUAAACCGUUUACGUGCAAGCGUUCGGGCGUUGCGUAAGCGGGGUUGUACGACAACCAUCCGAGGUCCGAAUACCUCGGCACGAGUUACCAAAUCGAUCGAUAAUCGAAGCCGGCUGGAAAGCCGCACCAGAGUAGGUGAUAGUCCUGUAGGUGAAAUCGUUCGAUCUCGUGGUGUUGUUCGUGAGUAGGGCGGGGCACGAGAAACCUUGUCUGAAACUGGGAGGACCAUCUUCCAAGGCUAAAUAUUCUGUUGAGACCGAUAGUGAACGAGUACCGUGAGGGAAAGGUGAAAAGAACCCCCGAAGGGGAGUGAAAUAGAAUAUGAAACCGUAUGCCUACAAACCGUGAAAGGCCAAUGCGCAAGCAAGGCUAAUCGCGUGCCUAUUGAAGAAUGAACCUGCGAGUUACUUGUAACGGGCUUGGUUAAGGUGUUGAGCCGGAGCCGUAGCGAAAGCGAGUCUGAAUAGGGCGAAUUUGUCCGUUGCAGUAGACCCGAAACCGGGUGAUCUAUCCAUGGCCAGGUUGAAGCAUGAUUAAUCUCAUGUGGAGGACCGAACCUGUCGUUGUUGAAAAAACGUUGGAUGAGCUGUGGAUAGGGGUGAAAAGCCAAUCGAACCCGGAGAUAGCUGGUUCUCCCCGAAAUAGUUUGAGGACUAGCGUCGUUUGUUAACCCACGGGGGUAGAGCACUGACAGAGCUAGGGGUCUUACCGGAUUACCGAACUCCAUCAAACUCCGAAUACCGUGGCGAAUUAAGCGGCAGUCAGACUGUGGGGGAUAAGCUCCAUGGUCAAAAGGGAAACAGCCCAGAUCAACAGCUAAGGUCCCUAAUCGAUGCUCAGUGGUAAAGGAAGUCUUGUCGCAGAAACAACUAGGAGGUUGGCUUAGAAGCAGCCACCCUUGAAAGAGUGCGUAAUAGCUCACUAGUCGAGUGGCGAGGCGCCGAAAAUGUAACGGGGCUCAAGCAUCGAACCGAAGCUUUGGGAUGUGUAAACAUCGGUAGGGGAGCGUUGUGGCGUAGGCUGAAGCACGACCGCGAGGACGUGUGGACGAACCACAAGUGCGAAUGCAGGUAUAAGUAGCGAUAAAAGAGAGUGAGAACCUCUCUCGCCGGAAGUCUAAGGUUUCCUGAGCUACGUCAAUCGUCUCAGGGUGAGUCGGGAGCUAAGCCGAGGCUGAGAAGCGUAGGCGAUGCACAAGCAGUUCAUAUUCUGCUACCACCGACGACCGUUAAGACUCUGUCGAACAGCAUUCUCGAUCGUGAAAGCGAUCGGUGGUGCCGUUCGUCAUGGUCUUUGAAUUGAUGGGGUGACGCAGGAAGAUAUGUCAUCGCGCUGAUGGAUAUGCGCGUCUAAGCCGGUAGGUGUUGCUGUAGGUAAAUCCGCAGCAUUUAACACCGAGAAGCGAAUGCGAGGCUCUUCGGAGCCGAAGUGACAGACUCUACGCUGCCAAGAAAAGCCUCUAAAUAGGAUCGUAGGUGCCCGUACCGUACACCGACACUGGUAGACUGGCAGAGCAUGCUAAGGCGACGGGAGAACCCCUGUUAAGGAACUCGGCAAAUUGACCCCGUAACUUUGGGAGAAGGGGUGCCUUCGUCGGACUAGACAUUACGUCGAAAGCUGAUGGAGGUCGCAGAAAAUAGGCCCAAGCGACUGUUUAACAAAAACACAGGUCUCUGCGAAUGCGAAAGCAGACGUAUAGGGGCUGACUCCUGCCCGGUGCUGGAAGGUUAAAGGGACGGGUUAGCGCAAGCGAAGCUCGGAACUGAAGCCCCAGUAAACGGCGGCGGUAACUAUAACCGUCCUAAGGUGACACAAUCGUUGCCUCGCCGCGUAGUAAUAUGCGGCUGUACACUUGGCUAUAUGCGGGAACAUCCUUUAGAGCCCACGCCUACUCGUCGACGGCUCGUCGGCAGUAACAAUGGCUGGGAUUGGACAAUCCGCAGGAAACGUGCUCUUCGAUCGCUUCACGGCGUUCGUGGAAAGCGGAUCCUCAGAGACUAUACGCCAGGCAUCCAACGGUAUCGAAAGGUACGAUAACGAUGAACCUCGACCCUCAAUGGGUGGUUGGAUUCGUCGAUGGAGAGGGUUGCUUCUUCAUCGGGGUCCAGAGAAACCCAACGGUCAGAAUCGGCUUCCAAGUCAUUCCGGAAUUUCGCGUCGUUCAACAUAAACGCGAUCUCGACGUGCUCCACGGGCUGAAGAAAUUCUUCGGUUUCGGGCGCAUUUGUCAAAAUCACGACGAUCGAUGGGAAUACCGGGUGAGAAAACUCGAGCAGCUCCGCGAGAUCGCGGCCUUUUUCGAAAAGUACUCGUUACGAACGAAAAAGCGCAUCGACGCUCAGAGAUUUGCGAAGGUUUUAACACUGAUGGAAGAUGGCCGGCACCUGACAAAUGAAGGCUUGAGGGAGAUCGAAGAUAUCGCGCUUUCGAUGAAUACCGGUAAUCGUCCGCGAUUGCAGGCAUUAUUGGAUGAAGAUAGAGUCCACUCCGGCGUGAAAGCGUCGGAAGAAAAGUGAGCGAAAUUCCUUGUCGGGUAAGUUCCGACCUGCACGAAUGGAGUAACGACUUGGGCGCUGUCUCGAUGGGGGGCCCGGCGAAAUUGCAGUACCAGUGAAGAUGCUGGUUACCCGCAGCAGGACGGAAAGACCCCGUGAAGCUUUACUGUAUCCUGAUCUUGGGUUCUGAGACUGUCCGUACAGGAUAGGUGGGAGUCGAUGAGACGAGGGCGCUAGCUUUCGUGGAGACAACGUUGGGAUACCACCCUGAUAGUCUUGGGAUUCUAACCGGCCGCCGUUAUCCGGUGGCGGGACAGGGUCAGGUGGGCAGUUUGACUGGGGCGGUCGCCUCCUAAAGAGUAACGGAGGCGCCCAAAGGUUCCCUCAGAACGGUCAGAAACCGUUCUCACAGAGUGCAUAGGCAUAAGGGAGCUUGACUGCGAGACGGACAGGUCGAGCAGGUGCGAAAGCAGGGCUAAGUGAUCCGGCGGUACCGAAUGGAAGGGCCGUCGCUUAUCGGAUAAAAGCUACUCCGGGGAUAACAGGCUUAUCUCCCCCAAGAGUUCACAUCGACGGGGAGGUUUGGCACCUCGAUGUCGGAUCGUCGCAUCCUGGGGCUGUAGUAGGUCCCAAGGGUUGGGCUGUUCGCCCAUUAAAGCGGUACGCGAUCUGGGUUCAGAACGUCGUGAGACAGUUCGGUCCCUAUCCGCUGUGGGCGUAGGAGAUUUGAGGAGCGUGGACUCUAGUACGAGAGGACCGAGUCGAACGAACCGCUGGUGAACCGGUUGUUCCGCCAGGAGCAUGGCCGGGUAGCUACGUUCGGAUCAGAUAAACGCUGAAAGCAUAUAAGCGUGAAACUGACUCCAAGAUGAGAUCUCAAUCCCGUAAGGGUGAAGAGCCGUGGGAGACUACCACGUUGAUAGGCCGGGGGUGGAAGCAUCGUAAGGUGUGGAGCUGACCGGUACUAAUAGCUCG